This 497-nucleotide ribosomal RNA is filed under the name uncultured bacterium. Its description in RNAcentral is "partial 16S ribosomal RNA". It matches the Rfam family "Bacterial small subunit ribosomal RNA", at positions 28 to 507 of the family's 1533-position model. The record is from RNAcentral.
GAUGAACGCUGGCGGCGUGCCUAAUACAUGCAAGUCGAGCGAACAGACGAUGAGCUUGCUCCUCUGACGUUAGCGGCGGACGGGUGAGUAACACGUGGAUAACCUACCUAUAAGACUGGGAUAACUUCGGGAAACCGGAGCUAAUACCGGAUAAUAUAUUGAACCGCAUGGUUCAAUAGUGAAAGACGGUUUUGCUGUCACUUAUAGAUGGAUCCGCGCCGCAUUAGCUAGUUGGUAAGGUAACGGCUUACCAAGGCAACGAUGCGUAGCCGACCUGAGAGGGUGAUCGGCCACACUGGAACUGAGACACGGUCCAGACUCCUACGGGAGGCAGCAGUAGGGAAUCUUCCGCAAAGGGCGAAAGCUUGACGGAGCAACGCCGCGUGAGUGAUGAAGGUCUUCGGAUCGUAAAACUCUGUUAUUAGGGAAGAACAAAUGUGUAAGUAACUAUGCACGUCUUGACGGUACCUAAUCAGAAAGCCACGGCUAACUACGUG